AGGACGAACGCUGGCGGCGUGCUUAACACAUGCAGGUCGAACGGGAUUUAGUAAACAGAAGCCUCGGCGGAAGAUUACUAAUGAGAGUGGCGAACGGGUGAGUAACGCGUGAGCAACCUGCCUAUGACAGUGGGAUAGCCUCGGGAAACCGGGAUUAAUACCGCAUAAAAUCGUAGAAACACAUGUUUUAACGGUCAAAGAUUUAUCGGUCAUAGAUGGGCUCGCGUCUGAUUAGCUAGUUGGUGAGAUAACAGCCCACCAAGGCGACGAUCAGUAGCCGGUCUGAGGGGAUGAACGGCCACAUUGGAACUGAGACACGGUCCAAACUCCUACGGGAGGCAGCAGUGGGGAAUAUUGCACAAUGGGGGAAACCCUGAUGCAGCGACGCCGCGUGAACGAAGAAGGUAUUCGUAUCGUACAGUUCUGUCCUAUGGGAAGAUAAUGACAGUACCAUACGAAGAAAGCUCCGGCUAAAUACGUGCCAGCAGCCGCGGUAAUACGUAUGGAGCGAGCGUUGUCCGGAAUUAUCGGGCGUAAAGGGUACGCAGGCGGUUUAAUAAGUCGACUGUACAAGAUCGGGGCUCAACCCCGUAAAGCAUUGGAACCUGAUCAACUUGAGUACGUGGCCA
RNAcentral lists this ribosomal RNA (629 nucleotides) under uncultured Clostridia bacterium. Its description in RNAcentral is "bacterial SSU rRNA". It matches the Rfam family "Bacterial small subunit ribosomal RNA", at positions 26 to 656 of the family's 1533-position model. The record is from RNAcentral. Lineage: Bacteria; Bacillati; Bacillota; Clostridia.